Molecule: small RNA, 463 nt
Filed under: Pongo abelii (Sumatran orangutan)
Lineage: Eukaryota; Metazoa; Chordata; Mammalia; Primates; Hominidae
Description: retained intron
Source: RNAcentral
UUCCAGAUUGGGAUCGCCCUGCAGCCCGUGGCGCUCCACAGGAACGUGUAUGCGUCCGUGGUGGAGGACAUGAUCCUGAAGGCUACAGAACAGCUGGUGAAUGAUAUCCUGAGACAGGCUUUGGCAGUUGGAUACCAGACAGCUUCUCACAACAGGUAUUACUAUCUCUGCAGUCUGUGGUGUGAGGCUUACACCUCUUUCCUAACAGUUGAAUUGCCCAUGAAGUUGUUUUAUACUUACAUCAAUCCAGUAGGAGAUGGAGUUAGUGCUUAGGACACUUUAGAGCCAGAUGAGCUCAAGGAUCUGCUCUGUCAUUUUUAGAGAACCUCAUGGUUGUGAAAGCUCACUUAGCUUUGCUCAGAGGUUUAUAUCCUCCUCAUUACUUCACAGACAGCUAGGACUCUGUUUUAUUACAGGGUUGAAUAAAUAUUAGCUUUGCAAUUAAAGAUAACCGUGUCCAUUA